CAGGAUUGUAUAGUUUCGCUUACAACACCAAGGUUCCCUUCACUAUGUCUUAUACAUUAUAUACGCCUAGUAAUUAUAUACAUUACUCCUCAUAGCAAUUUGAACACGAUUCCCUAAUUAAAGAUGAUUUGUAUAGCAAUAUUUCUAGUCUCUCUUGCUUGUCUCUGGCUAUGGGGAUUCACCAACAAGAACAAGAAAUUACCUCCUGGUCCAAGAGGGUUACCAAUUUUGGGUAGCCUUCAUAAGUUGGGAGAUAAUCCUCAUCUUGAUCUUCACAAACUAUCACAAAAACAUGGACCAAUCAUGUACCUGCGCCUAGGUUUGGUGCCAACCAUUGUUGUCUCUUCUCCACAAGCUGCUGAACUCUUUCUUAAAAUCCAUGACCUUGUUUUUGCAAGUAGACCACCCAAUGAAGCUGCAAAGUACAUUUCAUGGGAGCAGAGGAACAUGAGUUUUGGUGAAUAUGGUCCUUAUUGGCGCAACAUGCGAAAGAUGUGCACCUUGGAACUACUAAGCCAAACAAAGAUCAACUCAUUCAGACGCAUGAGGCAAGAGGAGGUUGAAUCAUUGAUCCACGUUCUUAGAGAAGCAGCAAAUGAUGGAGUUGCUGUGGAUGUCAGUGCUAAGGUUUCAACAGCAAGUGCUGACAUGAGUUGUAGAAUGGUUUUUGGGAAGAAAUAUGAUGACAAAGACUUGGAUGAGAAGGGUUUCAAGAGUGUUAUACAAGAAGGGAUGCAAUUAGCGGCAACUCCAAACAUAGGUGAUUAUAUUCCUUAUAUUGGUAAACUUGAUCUUCAAGGCUUAACUAGGCGCAUGAAGGCUGUGGGGAAAAAAUUUGAUGAGUUUUUUGAGAAAGUUAUUGAUGACCACUUGCAAUCAUCUGAGAACAGAGAAGAUAAAGUUAAGGACUUUGUGGAUGUCAUGUUGGGCUUUCUAGGCACUGAGGAAUCUGAAUACCGUCUUGAACGCCCUAAUAUCAAAGCCAUAUUGCUGGAUAUGCUGGCAGGUUCAGUGGACACAUCAGCAACGGCAAUAGAGUGGGCACUUUCAGAGCUAAUAAAGCAUCCAAGAGUGAUGAAGAAACUUCAAAUGGAGUUAGAAUCUGUGGUUGGUAUGAAGAGAAUGGUGGAGGAGUCAGACUUAGACAAGUUGGAAUAUUUGGACAUGGUCAUCAAGGAAACCAUGAGGAUCCAUCCAGUGGCACCGUUACUAAUACCACACCAAUCUAUGGAAGAUUGCAUGGUUGGAGAUUUCUUCAUACCCAAGAAAUCAAGAGUCAUAAUAAAUGCAUGGGCAAUCAUGAGGGACCCAAGUGCUUGGAGUGAGCCAGAGAAGUUCUGGCCGGAGAGAUUUGAGGGAAGGGAGAUUGACAUCAAAGGUAGAGAUUUCCAUUUUAUACCAUUUGGGUCUGGGAGAAGAGGAUGCCCUGGAUUGCAGUUAGGUCUAACAGUGGUUCGGUUGGUGGUGGCACAACUUGUGCAUUGCUUUGAUUGGAAGUUACCAAAUAAGAUGUUGGCAUCUGAAUUGGACAUGACUGAGGAGUUUGGUCUCACUAUGCCAAGGGCCAAUCAUUUAUUUGCGAUACCUACUUAUAGGCUUCAGAAUGAAAGUGGUUAAGCAGUUGACAGUUGCCACAAUUGUGGGAUGGGGAGGACAUUACAAUGUGUUGUUUUCCUUCUGUUGUUGCCAACAUUUCUCUCACUUUGCAGGUUUAGUUUAGUUUCUGUUGUGUCAUGCUCGACAAUUAAGGUUUAGUUCAAUAAGAAUUAAUAAAUUUGAUUGUAUAUAACCUGAGGAAUGGAACAAGAUACUAAUGAGUGAUAUUUGGGAAUUUUCUGUGGAGAAGAGUAAGAUUAUUCCAGCAUUGCUGAUAAGUUACUUCCAUCUUCCUCCACAUUUAAAGCGUUGUUUUGUUUAUUGUGCUUUAUAUCCCAAGGAUUAUAAAUUUAAAAAGGACGAACUAAUCCUUUUGUGGAUGGCAGAAGAUCUUUUACCACCACCAAAGAGAGGAGAGAGUUUAGAAGAAGUUGGUUGCGAGUGUUUUGAUGAACUAACUUCCAGAUUAUUUUUCACAAAGCUUCAAAUUGCUCAUGAUUAUUUUGUGAUGCACGAUCUCUUGCAUGAUUUAGUUUCAAAUUGGGUUGGGCAUUCCUCUUACCAAAACAUGACACGUGUGUCUCUGGUGUGUUGCAAGAAUUGCUGCAUGCUGCCUUCACUUGGACAGCUGUCAUCUCUUAAGUCCCUGCUAAUUGAAGGUUUCGAUCAGCUGAGGAGUAUUGGCAAUGAGUUUUACAAGAAUGAAGAAGAUCAUCAUUCUUCGCAUAUUCCACCGUUUCCUUCACUGCAGAGUUUGGAAUUUUUUGAUAUGGCAUGUUGGGAGGAGUGGAACUUACCUGACUCAGAAGCUUUUCCUCAGCUUAAGAUCCUUCGAAUAUCAGAGUGUCCUAUGUUGAAGGAAGAGAUACUUCAUGAGGUAUUCUUGAGAAUCAUUUCUUCUUUGUCGGAUGUUUCCAAAGUUCGCGAAUUACGUAUAGACGACUAUUUUAUAGGAGAAGGCAUUGGGGACAUGUUUCUUGGUGGGGAUACUUUAACAAUAAGGGGAUGUGAAUCUGUGAAGGAGUCUGCAUUUAAGGCAAUGAUCAGCACCAACCAUCUAAGUUGCCUCCAAGAAAUACACAUCGCAGGGUAUUCCUCUUAUGUAUUCUUACCGAGCAAUUGUUUUCCCAAAUCUUUGCAAAAGCUGCAAAUCUGGAGGUGUAGAAAACUAGAAUUCCCCGAGCAACAGCAGCAGAAGUAUGAUUUGGAGAUACUGCAGCAUUUUGGAGGCAUUACCACAUGACAUGAAUAGUCUACUCCCAAGUUUACAGUCUCUCGACAUAUAUGGUUGCUCAGACACUUGGAGGUUGCCAGAGGGUGGUUUGCCGCCUAACUUGAAAUCACUUGCUGUGGGAAUUUGCGAGCAACAAAUGAGGGAUCUAUCAUGGAUGGGCAACUUGGACGCCCUCACUCAUCUUAAAAUUUCAGGUUAUAAGUGCGAGAACAUAAAGUCAUACCCAGAGGUGGGUUCGUUGCCUCACCUUCCCUCCCUUGCCACUCUUGAGAUAUGGUUGUUCAAUAAUCUGGAGACAUUGGAGUGCAACGAGCUUCUCCACCUCACCUCCCUCCAACAACUACACAUUUAUUGCUGUCCAAAUCUGGAGAAUAUGGAAGGAGAAAAGUUGCCUCCCUCUCUCUUGCUACUUCAAAUUUAUAGCUGUGAUUUGCUGGGAGAACACUGCAGGAACAAGCAUCAACUAAUCUGGCCCAAAAUUUCCCACAUCCCCACCAUUCAAGUCGAACAGUUUCUCAAUAGAGAUUUCUGAGUAGUGAUAUAUCAGUGCCCAGCAUGCUAUCUGAAUUUUGGUAACAUAUUGUAACAUACCUAUCCUUAUCAUCAGCAAGAACUAAAAGAGUUCAGUGGAUACAUCAGCAGCGGCAAUAGAGUGGGCACUUUCAGAGCUAAUAAAGCAUCCAAGAGUGAUGAAGAAACUUCAAAUGGAGUUUGAAUCUGUGGUUGGUAUGAAGAGAAUGGUGGAGGAGUCAGACUUGGACAAGUUGGAGUAUUCGGACAUGGUCAUCAAGAAAUUCAUAAGGACCCAUCCAGUUGCACCAUUAAUAUUACCACACCAAUCUAUGAAAGAUUGCAUGGUUGGAGAUUUCUUCGUACCAAAGAAAUCCAGAGUUGUAAUAAAUACAGGGGCAAUUAUGAGGGACCCAAUUGCUUGGAGUGAGCCAGAGAAGCUCUCACCGGCAAGAUUUGAGGGAAGAGACAUUGAUGUUAGAGGGAGAGAUUUCCAACUAAUACCAUUUGGAUUUGGCAGAAGAGGAUGUCCCGGAUCCCAGUUAGGUCUAACAGUAGUUUAGUGGUGGCAACAGCUUGUGCAUUGCUUUGAUGGAAGUUACCAAAUAACUUGUUGCCAAGUGAAUUGGACAUGACUGAGGUGUUUAGCCUCUCGAUGUGUAGAGCUAAUCAUCUAUUUGCUAUCCCAACUUACAGGUUUCAUAAUGAAAGUGAUUAAGCAAAAAAAUAUAAUGUAAUCAUGUUUUUAUGUUUUAUUUGUUCCAUUUGAAUAAGAUUCAUUGAUCAAAUGCAACAAAAUCAAGAGAGUAAAAUGAGAGAAAAAAUAAUCCCAGUGAGAAAUUAAUUAUCAUUUAC
This is an RNA transcript of Arachis stenosperma, 4195 nucleotides long. It is a transcript of the gene named cytochrome P450 71AU50-like, with no coding region annotated. The record is from RefSeq and is a predicted model, not a curated record. Lineage: Eukaryota; Viridiplantae; Streptophyta; Magnoliopsida; Fabales; Fabaceae. The transcript has 4 exons.